AGGGGCUUAGGAUAGUACUUAGACCUAGGGCCUUCAAAGCCCUCAGCGAGAGUGAAAAUCUCUCAGCCCCUG
This 72-nucleotide transfer RNA is filed under the name Pleuronichthys cornutus (ridged-eye flounder). RNAcentral's name for it is "tRNA-Trp". It matches the Rfam family "tRNA". From Rfam's summary of the family: Transfer RNA (tRNA) molecules are approximately 80 nucleotides in length. Their secondary structure includes four short double-helical elements and three loops (D, anti-codon, and T loops). The record is from RNAcentral. Lineage: Eukaryota; Metazoa; Chordata; Actinopteri; Pleuronectiformes; Pleuronectidae.